UAUGCUUCAUUUCAUAGUUUUAUGCCUUCUUUUUUUAUGCUUGGUUAUGCUUUAGAGUCUUUUUCUAGAAGAUACUUCAAUGUAUUCUUCCUUUCUAACAAUUUUUUCCCUUUAUUUCUCCCGCUCUUAAUUUUGACUGACCAGAAAUCACAAAAAAUCCUGAAAUUUAAAAUUUUUUGAAAUUCAAAUUAACCUAUAUGUCAUAUUCUCCAAUUCUUCAACUCUCUAAAUCUUCCUUUCUUCUAUUACGAGCUUGAUAUUAAAGAAGGAAGAAGGUAGAGAACAGAAUCCAUGGACGCACAAGACUGUUGAUGCCGCCGCACCUCAUGGCUCCAACGUUCAGUGGAAUCGUGGUGAUUAAAGAGACAGCAACGGUGGUGGUAGGGGUUAUGGCGGUGGAUGAGGUGGGACCGCUAUGGUGGUGGAGGAGGCUUGGUGGUGGUGGUUGCAAUGGUCACGAUAGAGUUCGUGGUGGUUGUUAAUGUGGUGGUGGUUGGUACGGAGGAGGAAGAAGAGAGUAGAUCAAAGAACGAAUUGAGCGGCAGGCACAGAGAGCACAUGCAGCGAGACUAAGAAAGCAGAGAGCACAGCAGCAGCGACAAGAACAUAGCGGUGAGAUCUAACCGGCAGCCAAUCCAGCUGCGGGUUCCGUAAUUUUCAGCAGCUUUAUGUGAUCUUUUCUGUGAAGCAUAUUAUGCUACUUCCGCAACGCAAAAUCGCUCAUCUCCCCUCAAAGAUAUCAUACUAUACAGUAUCCAGAACCAAACCUUGAGUUUCAGUUCAAUUUUAGUUCCACAAAAGGCUCAACCACAGAAGAAACAAACUGGUACAUAUAUACUAACUCCUCUUCUUUGGAUCUCUCUUUUAAGUUGGUGAUAGUUAAUGGAGUAUACUUCGAGCUUUAUUUAUUAUUUUUAUUUUUUCGUUCGAAUUAGUUUUGAGACAGAUUCCCAUACCAGAGAGUUUUGAUUCCCUCACCUUUCUCUUUGAAAUUUCCGCACACAGAAAGUUUAUGUAUAACAGGUGUGGAUUUGGUUUAGUAUAAUUCGGUCUCAACGCAAAAAUUCUCGAAUAACGAUUCUCUAUUUUUCUGCUUCCUUUGCUUAUUCAACUUUUUGAUCGACUCAUUCCUUGGUUCCAUUUUCUGAUUUCUGCUCUUCCCAAAUAAUGUUCAAGUUGUAUUCUUUCACGUGUUUAUUGUUAAAACAAGGUGAGAUUUCAUUUGGAUUUUGUUUAGGAUAAUCAAGAAUGCAGGGUCGAAGGACUAGAACACGAUACCGUUGCUCUUUGUUCUGGAUUCUUCAUGCACUCAUUAAAUCCAAUGAAAUAUAUAUAUAAUCAAGCUCUUCCUAUUUUCGAUACCAUGUAAUCGAGCUCUUUGAAUUAAAUUUUUUUGUUCUCUAUUUAUUUUUAUUAUCAUUUUUCUUCUUUUCUCUGAGAUUUCAAAUUUUCAAUGCUGUUUACUGUUCUGAUCGGCUUAUGUUUCCUUGAAAUCCGAGGUUGGAAAAGCUGGUGGUGUCAGAUAGAAGUCCAUGUCCGAUGCUAUGAACAAAGCAAACAUGUUCUCUGAUUCUUUUAUUAUUCUUCUUUCUUCGGAUAACAAUUAUUUCCAAUUUUUUUGUUGUUGUUUUAGGAUUUAUUCUCUAAUUCAUUAUAUUAUCAUUUUUCAGGAAAAAAAGCUUCAUACCAAGCAAAUGCUGGAGAACUGACUAGCAUAUGAGGACGAUAUAAGGGCCUACAACAAAGAAUUGAAUGAGGGUGGAGAUUCUAAUAAGUCAAAAUCUAUGGUGAAUGACGAUUAUAAUGAUGAAGAGAGGAUGAGUGAAGUAGUUGCUAUGGUGAAAGAAGAGGCCUUGAAGUGGGAGGAAAUAAUUUCAUUCAUCAUCAAUCUUCAUAUAGUUUUGGGAGUUGAUUGACAAUACAGUUUGAUCAUCUUAAUUUUAUUUUACCUCAACUUUAUUUAUUUUUAACUUUAAAAGAGAUUUAGUCUAUAUGUCAAAUAAGGUUUAUAAUUCAUAUUAAUUGUUAUACUUAGGAGUACUAAAUUUUCUUAGGAUACUAUUGAAAGGAAUUUUUGGCAAACUAAUUUUACUAAUUAAUUCUUUUUUAUUUA
This is a non-coding RNA of Arachis ipaensis, 2113 nucleotides long. The record is from RefSeq and is a predicted model, not a curated record. NCBI's taxonomy places the organism in Eukaryota, Viridiplantae, Streptophyta, Magnoliopsida, Fabales, Fabaceae.